GGGCGGGUAGCGUAGUGGUCAGCGCAUUCACUGAGCGUAUCUCUCUCUUUCCCAAGCGAUUUCCAGCGUUGAUUCGUCAUCUUUCUCCUUUAAAUAGCGUUCGUUGAAAGACCUGGGUUCGAGUCCCAGCCCGCCCA
Echria macrotheca is the source of this 137-nucleotide non-coding RNA. The record is from the annotation of a GenBank genome assembly. Lineage: Eukaryota; Fungi; Ascomycota; Sordariomycetes; Sordariales; Schizotheciaceae.